This 1878-nucleotide ribosomal RNA is filed under the name Triticum aestivum (bread wheat). RNAcentral describes it as "partial small subunit ribosomal RNA". Lineage: Eukaryota; Viridiplantae; Streptophyta; Magnoliopsida; Poales; Poaceae. The record is from RNAcentral.
AUGAGAGGAAUGCCCUUUGCGGGAGAGGGUCACGCGGGGAGACUGCAGCAGCAGCCCAAGCUCAGCGCCGGCUUCUGGGCGGAGCCCACGUCCGUGCUCGACCGCCGCCACAGCCCCAGCCCCAGCCCGCCCUCCGAGGCCUCCGCGCUGUCGUCGUCCGAGGUGGCGAGCCUCGCGCCCGGCGGCGACGCCAAGAACGUAUCCCCGCCGCCGCAGCAGCAUCAGGCAUGGCCGCCCGGGGAGGAUGCUGCCGCGGGGGUCAAGGAGGAGUGGGCGCACCAGCUGGCGCCGCUCGACAUGGCCAUGGGCCUCGGCGCCGGCGAGGGCUGGGACGGCACGGCGCCGCCCGGGCUCGCCGGCCCUGACAGCACCUUCCUCCGCUGGAUCAUUGGCGGCGGGGAGGACGCGUCCGCCGGGAUGGCCGGCGUCAUGGAUCCGCCCGCUCUGGAGCUCGACCACGCCACGUCUAUGAUGUCGCCGCCCACGGCGUCGCUCGGGCCCAGCCUGUCGCCGUUCGCGCCGGCCAUGGAGGAGGACGCCAAGGGGGCCCCGUUCGGCCACGCGCCCAGCUACCUGCUCCACCAGCACCAGCACCACCCCCAGCCACACGCGGCCUUCUUUGGCGCGCACCCGUCCUUCGAGUCGGCGCCGCCGCCGCCCAAGCGCCACCACCCGAUGGCAGGCGCGCCGGCGCCGAAGCUGCCUGCUUUCCAGGGGCAUCUCGCUCCGGCGGGCGGGUUCUUCCCCGCCCUCAAGCCCAAGGCGGGGACGGCGAACGACGAGGCGGCCGCCACGGUGGACCAGCUCGCCGAGGCUGCCAAGUUUGCCGAGGCGGGCGACGCCUUCGGCGCACGCGAGAUAUUGGCGCGGCUCAAUUAUCGGCUCCCCGCCGCCCCCGCGGCCGGGACGCCACUCCUCCGCUCUGCCUUCUACUUCAAGGAGGCUUUGCGCCUCGCGCUCUCCCCCAACGGAGAGACGCCCGCGCCGCCGGCGUCCACGCCCUACGACGUGGUCCUCAAGCUCGGCGCGUACAAGGCCUUCUCCGAGGUCUCCCCGGUGCUCCAGUUCGCGCACCUCACCUGCGUCCAGGCGGUGCUCGACGGGCUCCGCGGCGCAGGCUGCAUCCACGUGCUCGACUUCGACAUCGGCAUGGGCGAGCAGUGGGCGUCGCUGAUGCAGGAGCUCGCGCAGCGCCGCCCGGCGACGGCGCUCAAGGUCACCGCAUUGGUCUCGCCGGCGUCGCACCACCCGCUCGAGCUGCAGCUCAUCCACGAGAACCUCUCAAGCUUCGCCGCCGAGCUCGGCGUGUUCUUCCAGUUCACCGUAUUCAACAUCGACACCCUCGACCCCGCGGACCUGGUGGCCAUCGCCGGCGGGGACGCGCUCGCCGUCCACCUGCCCGUCGGCGCAGCACACGCGGCCGCAAUGCCCGCCGUCCUCCGCCUCGUGAAGAGCCUCGGCGCCAAGGUGGUCGUGUCCGUGGACCGCGGGUGCGACCGCACGGAGCUGCCCUUCGCCGCGCACCUGUUCCAGGCGUUCCAGUCCACCGUCUUCCUCCUCGAGUCCGUGGACGCCGUGGGCACCGACCCCGACACGGCCGGCAAGAUCGAGCGGUUCCUGGUCCAGCCGGCCGUGGAGCAAUGCGUGGUCGGGCGCCACCGCGCGUCCAUCGAGAAGGCGCCGCUGCCGUGGCGGGCCGUGUUCGCGUCGGCCGGGUUCACGCCGGUGCAGGCCAGCACGUUCGCGGAGUCGCAGGCCGAGUCGCUGCUGCACAAGGUGCCCGUCCGGGGGUUCCGCGUCGAGAAGCGCGCCCCGGGAUCGCUCUGCCUCUACUGGCAGCGCGCCGAGCUCGUGUCGGUCUCGGCGUGGCGGUGCUGA